Molecule: ribosomal RNA, 467 nt
Filed under: uncultured bacterium
Lineage: Bacteria
Description: partial 16S ribosomal RNA
Rfam family: Bacterial small subunit ribosomal RNA
Source: RNAcentral
GACGAACGCUGGCGGCGUGCUUAACACAUGCAAGUCGAACGGAAAGGCCCUGCUUUUGUGGGGUGCUCGAGUGGCGAACGGGUGAGUAACACGUGAGUAACCUGCCCUUGACUUUGGGAUAACUUCAGGAAACUGGGGCUAAUACCGGAUAGGAGCUCCUGCUGCAUGGUGGGGGUUGGAAAGUUUCGGCGGUUGGGGAUGGACUCGCGGCUUAUCAGCUUGUUGGUGGGGUAGUGGCUUACCAAGGCUUGGACGGGUAGCCGGCCUGGGAGGGUGACCGGCCACAUUGGGACUGAGGUACGGCCCAGACUCAUACGGGAGGCAGCAGUGGGGAAUAUUGCACAAUGGGCGGAGGCCUGAUGCAGCAACGCCGCGUGCGGGAGGACGGCUUUCGGGUUGUAAACCGCUUUCGCCUGUGACGAGGCGUGAGUGACGGAAAUGGGUAAAGAAGCACCGGCUAACUACGG